Nomascus leucogenys (northern white-cheeked gibbon) is the source of this 679-nucleotide long non-coding RNA. RefSeq lists it as uncharacterized. NCBI's taxonomy places the organism in Eukaryota, Metazoa, Chordata, Mammalia, Primates, Hylobatidae. The transcript has 3 exons. The record is from RefSeq and is a predicted model, not a curated record.
CUCUUCUUCCUGCGUGAAGUGUACGCAGAGGGCAUGGCUUCUCAGCUGUUCCUGUAAGCAGAGGCUCUUUCCACCCAUCUGGAGAUUUAGAUUCUAGAGUUUGGUAUCACAUUUGCCUGCAGAUUUGUUAAGAAUGCAGACAGGGAAGACGGAUUCUGUUCAAUGACCCCCUUCAAGACUCCAGUGAAGUUCAGGAUCUGGCAGAGGGGAUGGAUUUAUAUAGAAGUGAGGCAACUGAGCCACAGAGGUAUUAAGCCCAAGGUCACUCUGCCCAUGAAUGACAAAGCCAGUUGUGAACAGCCUACAACCGGAGCCUGGGCUCUUAAAUAUCAGGCUUUGCUGGCUUUGAUAAGUAGAUCUUUAUAUGAAAGCGAGUUCUUCCUCAUUGCGAAGGCACAUUCCCUGUAUGGAUAGGAAAAUAACACAGCACUGAAGUGUCUGCUAGGAUGGAAAAGUAAAUAUGAAAAAACCAAGGCUAUGCCAAAAUGCUGAAUUAGAGUACGUUCAAAUCAUAGCUACUCCAUAGGCCCAACCAGUAUAAGCACUGUUCCUGAUCAGUAAACCUAGAAGCGCAUUCUCCACCUGGAGGAUCUAGUGAGGUUUAAUCAAAAUACUUUGUGUGAAAGUGCCUGUUGUCUUGUAGAGACCCAGUAAAUGUUUGAUUUCUUGAAUAAUACAA